CAGCAGCCACGGUAAUACGAAGGGUGCAAGCGUUAAUCGGAAUUACUGGGCGUAAAGCGUGCGCAGGCGGUUUGUUAAGACAGAUGUGAAAUCCCCGGGCUCAACCUGGGAACUGCAUUUGUGACUGGCCGGCUAGAGUAUGGCAGAGGGAGGUGGAAUUCCACGUGUAGCAGUGAAAUGCGUAGAUAUGUGGAGGAACACCGAUGGCGAAGGCAGCCUCCUGGGCCAAUACUGACGCUCAUGCACGAAAGCGUGGGGAGCAAACAGGAUUAGAUACCCGCGUAGUCCAUGUCUCUUAUAC
Molecule: ribosomal RNA, 301 nt
Filed under: uncultured bacterium
Lineage: Bacteria
Description: partial 16S ribosomal RNA
Rfam family: Bacterial small subunit ribosomal RNA
Source: RNAcentral